This 1254-nucleotide ribosomal RNA is filed under the name metagenome. RNAcentral's name for it is "SSU rRNA". It matches the Rfam family "Eukaryotic small subunit ribosomal RNA", at positions 500 to 1801 of the family's 1831-position model. The record is from RNAcentral.
CUUACGGGAUUGCAAUGAGAACAAUUUAAAUCACUUAACGAGGGUCAAUUGGAGGGCAAGUCUGGUGCCAGCAGCCGCGGUAAUUCCAGCUCCAAUAGUGUAUAUUAAAGUUGUUGCAGUUAAAAAGCUCGUAGUUGAACUUCUGGCUGCGCGCAGUUCGGCGUUCUCGCCAGCUGCGUUCGCAGUCAUCCGUCUGCGAACUCCGAACAACCUUCAGUGGCUUGGCGGGGGGAGUAGACAUUUUACUUUGAAAAAAUUAGAGUGUUUCAAGCAGGUUAUUGCCAGAAUACUUUAGCAUGGAAUAAUGGAAUAGGACUCUUGUCCAUUUGGUUGGUUAUUGGACCAGAGUAAUGAUUAACAGGGACAGUUGGGGGCAUUAGUAUUUAAUUGUCAGAGGUGAAAUUCAUGGAUUUAUAAAGGACUAACUUAUGCGAAAGCAUUUGCCAAGGAUGUUUUCAUUAAUCAAGAACGAAAGUUAGGGGAUCAAAGACGAUCAGAUACCGUCCUAGUCUUAACUAUAAACGAUGUCGACUCGGGAUUGGAAAGGUAUGUGUAUCCUUUCCAGCACCGUAUGAGAAAUCAUUAAGUCUUUGGAUUCUGGGGGGAGUAUGGUCGCAAGGCUGAAACUUAAAGGAAUUGACGGAAGAGCACCACCAGGCGUGGGACCUGCGGCUUAAUUUGACCCAACACGGGAAAACUUAUUUCAGCAAAACAUGAGUGGGAUUGACAGAUUGAGAGCUCUUUCUUGAUUUUAUGGGGUGUGGUGCAUGGCCGUUCUUAGUUGUGGAGUGAUUUGUCUGGUUAAUUCCGUUAACGAACGAGACCUUAACCUGCUAACUAGUCAGCGCGUUAACCUACGCUCUGUACUUCUUAGAGGGACUAUGGGUAAUAAGCCCAUGGAAGUUUGAGGCAAUAACAGGUCUGUGAUGCCCAUAGAUGUUGAAAGCGGCACGCGCGUCAUACUGUCCAGUAACAGCAAGUUUACUUCCUCUCCCGGCAGGGUAGGGGUAAUCUACAAAACUGGACGUGGUAGGGAUAGAUCUUUGGAAUUAUAGAUCUUGAACGAAGAAUGCCUAGUAAGUACAAGUCAUCAACUUGUGCUGAUUACGUCCCUGUCCUUUGUACACACCGCCCGUCGCUCCUACCGAUUUCGAGCGAUAUGGUGAAUCUCCUGGACCGUGGAGCUCCUCGUGGGCUUCGUGGAAAGUUUAGUAAACCUUAUCGCUUAGAGGAAGGAAAAGUCGUAACAAGGUA